RNAcentral lists this unclassified non-coding RNA (238 nucleotides) under plant metagenome. RNAcentral's name for it is "partial contains small subunit ribosomal RNA and internal transcribed spacer 1". The record is from RNAcentral.
AAAGUCGUAACAAGGGUUUUCCCGUAGGUGAACCUGCGGAAGGGAUCAUUUAAAAGUAAGGGUGCUCAGCGCCCGACCUCCAACCCUUUGUUGUUAAAACUACCUUGUUGCUUUGGCGGGACCGCUCGGUUCUCAGCCGCUGGGGGAUUCGGUCCCAGGCGAGCCCCGGCCAGAGUUAAACCAAACUCUUGGUUCAUUUAACCGGUCGUCUGAGUUAAAAUUUUGAAUAAAUCAAAAG